Molecule: transfer RNA, 72 nt
Filed under: Cronartium comandrae C4
Lineage: Eukaryota; Fungi; Basidiomycota; Pucciniomycetes; Pucciniales; Coleosporiaceae
Description: tRNA-Tyr (ATA) (tRNA-Tyr-ATA-1-1)
Rfam family: tRNA
About the family: Transfer RNA (tRNA) molecules are approximately 80 nucleotides in length. Their secondary structure includes four short double-helical elements and three loops (D, anti-codon, and T loops).
Source: RNAcentral
GUGUCUGUAGCCUAGUGGUAAAAGGCAGCACUAUAGAUGCUGAGUUCAUGGGUUUGAAUCCCACCAGACACA